This 349-nucleotide RNase P RNA is filed under the name Lachnospiraceae bacterium. RNAcentral's name for it is "RNase P RNA component class A". It matches the Rfam family "Bacterial RNase P class A". From Rfam's summary of the family: Ribonuclease P (RNase P) is a ubiquitous endoribonuclease, found in archaea, bacteria and eukarya as well as chloroplasts and mitochondria. Its best characterised activity is the generation of mature 5'-ends of tRNAs by cleaving the 5'-leader elements of precursor-tRNAs. Cellular RNase Ps are ribonucleoproteins. The record is from RNAcentral. Lineage: Bacteria; Bacillati; Bacillota; Clostridia; Lachnospirales; Lachnospiraceae.
UGAGUAACACAGACAGUCGCAUCCAGCAUAUAUUUAAUAGCUGGCUGAGGAAAGUCCGGGCUCCAUAGGGCAGGAUGCCGGAUAACGUCCGGUGGAGGUGACUCCCAGGAUAGUGCAACAGAAAAUAACCGCCUGCCUUAAGGCAGGUAAGGGUGAAAAGGCAAGGUAAGAGCUUACCGCUUCCCUGGUAACAGGGCAAGGCUGUGUAAACCCCAUCCGGAGCAAGGCCAGACAGGGACAGUACAGUUGCCCGCUGUGUCCCGGGUAGGCUGCUUGAACCUGCUGGUAACAGCAGGUCUAGAUAGAUGAUUGUCUGAUACAGAACCCGGCUUACAGUGUUGCUCAUUAA